RNAcentral lists this ribosomal RNA (424 nucleotides) under uncultured bacterium. Its description in RNAcentral is "bacterial SSU rRNA". It matches the Rfam family "Bacterial small subunit ribosomal RNA", at positions 358 to 774 of the family's 1533-position model. The record is from RNAcentral.
AGGAUCAUUCGCAAUGGGCGAAAGCCUGACGAUGCGACGCUGCGUGGAGGAUGAAGGCCUUCGGGUCGUAAACUCCUGUCAUGGGGGAAGAGGCGAGGCGGGUCAACACCCCGUUUAGUUGACGGUACCCCAAGAGGAAGGGACGGCUAACUCUGUGCCAGCAGCCGCGGUAAUACAGAGGUCCCGAGCGUUGUUCGGAUUUACUGGGCGUAAAGGGCGCGUAGGCGGCGGGGCGUGUCAAGUGUGAAAUCUCCGGGCUCAACCCGGAAAGUGCGCUUGAAACUACCUCGCUGGAGUACGGGAGAGGGAAUCGGAAUAUAGGGUGUAGCGGUGAAAUGCGUUGAUAUCCUAUAGAACACCGGAGGCGAAGGCGGAUUCCUUGAACGAUACUGACGCUGAGGCGCGAAAGUCGGGGGAGCAAACA